GUUCCUGCCCUCCCUCCCGCAGUCCCCGCAUCCCCUUCUCUGCCUCCCAGCUGGGGACUCUGGAGAGCAGCUUCCAACAGACCCGCUACCUGAGCACUGGGCAGGUUCGGAACGUGGCCCUGCUGCUGGGGCUCACAGAGAACCGGGUGAAAAUUUGGUUCCAAAACCGGAGAGCCAGAGAGAGGCGGGACUUCUUGAAACAGCAGCCCAACCACACCACUGG
This is a long non-coding RNA of Heteronotia binoei (common prickly gecko), 223 nucleotides long. RefSeq lists it as uncharacterized. NCBI's taxonomy places the organism in Eukaryota, Metazoa, Chordata, Lepidosauria, Squamata, Gekkonidae. The transcript has 2 exons. The record is from RefSeq and is a predicted model, not a curated record.